GAAAAUAAAGUAGAACUUUUAAAGUCAGAGCUUUACGGCAUGAGACAAAUAUUAUAUGUACUGAAUACAAAACAGUAGUUGGAGGGUUGGAGAAGUAUCUCAAUGGUAGAGUGUGUGCCAAGAAUACAUAAGGACUUGGAGUCAAUUCCCAGUAC
Long non-coding RNA from Perognathus longimembris pacificus (Pacific pocket mouse), 155 nucleotides. RefSeq lists it as uncharacterized. Lineage: Eukaryota; Metazoa; Chordata; Mammalia; Rodentia; Heteromyidae. The transcript is spliced from 2 exons. The record is from RefSeq and is a predicted model, not a curated record.